UACGUAGGGGGCAAGCGUUGUCCGGAUUUAUUGGGCGUAAAGAGCGUGUAGGCGGCCACACAGGUCCGCUGUGAAAACUCGAGGCUCAACCUCGAGCUGUCGGUGGAAACCGUGUGGCUAGAGUCCGGAAGAGGAGAGUGGAAUUCCCGGUGCAGCGGUGAAAUGCGCAGAUAUCGGGAAGAACACCCGUGGCGAAGGCGGCUCUCUGGGACGGUACUGACGCUGAGACGCGAAAGCGUGGGGAGCGAACAGG
This 253-nucleotide ribosomal RNA is filed under the name uncultured bacterium. Its description in RNAcentral is "partial 16S ribosomal RNA". It matches the Rfam family "Bacterial small subunit ribosomal RNA", at positions 524 to 776 of the family's 1533-position model. The record is from RNAcentral.